CAAGAAAUAGUUUAGUUAGAAUUUCAGUUUUGGGUACUGAUGGCGUGGCGCYUCUUU
This 57-nucleotide transfer RNA is filed under the name Elasmodontomys obliquus (plate-toothed giant hutia). RNAcentral describes it as "tRNA-Pro". The record is from RNAcentral. Lineage: Eukaryota; Metazoa; Chordata; Mammalia; Rodentia; Heptaxodontidae.